ACCUGGCUGGCUCAGUCAGUAGAGCAUAUGACUUUUGACCUUAAGGUCAUGAGUUUGAGCCCCAUUUUGGGUA
This 73-nucleotide transfer RNA is filed under the name Felis catus (domestic cat). It matches the Rfam family "tRNA". Rfam says of the family: Transfer RNA (tRNA) molecules are approximately 80 nucleotides in length. Their secondary structure includes four short double-helical elements and three loops (D, anti-codon, and T loops). The record is from Rfam by way of RNAcentral. Lineage: Eukaryota; Metazoa; Chordata; Mammalia; Carnivora; Felidae.